Molecule: ribosomal RNA, 381 nt
Filed under: uncultured bacterium
Lineage: Bacteria
Description: bacterial SSU rRNA
Rfam family: Bacterial small subunit ribosomal RNA
Source: RNAcentral
AUUGAACGCUGGCGGCAUGCCUUACACAUGCAAGUCGAACGUGAAAGGGGGGCAACCCCCGAGUAGAGUGGCGGACGGGUGAGUAACACAUCGGAACGUACCCAGUAGUGGGGACAACCUCGAGAAAUCGAGGCUAAUACCGCAUACGACCCACGGGUGAAAGCGGGGGACCGCAAGGCCUCGCGCUAUUGGAGCGGCCGAUGUCCGAUUAGCUUGUUGGCGGGGUAAGAGCCCCACCAAGGCGACGAUCGGUAGCUGGUCUGAGAGGAUGAUCAGCCACACUGGGACUGAGACACGGCCCAGACUCCUACGGGAGGCAGCAGUGGGGAAUUUUGGACAAUGGGGGCAACCCUGAUCCAGCCAUGCCGCGUGCGGGAAGAA